RNAcentral lists this ribosomal RNA (467 nucleotides) under uncultured bacterium. Its description in RNAcentral is "partial 16S ribosomal RNA". It matches the Rfam family "Bacterial small subunit ribosomal RNA", at positions 28 to 507 of the family's 1533-position model. The record is from RNAcentral.
GACGAACGCUGGCGGCGUGCUUAACACAUGCAAGUCGAACGGAAAGGCCCUGCUUGCUGGGUAUUCGAGUGGCGAACGGGUGAGUAACACGUGGGUGAUCUGCACCUGACUUUGGCAUAAGCCUGGGAAACUGGGUCUAAUACCGGAUAUUCAUUUUUACUCGCAUGGGGAUUUGUGGAAAGUUCUUGCGGUUAGGGAUGGUCUCGCGGCCUAUCAGCUUGUUGGUGGGGUAAUGGCCUAGCAAGGCGACGAGGGGUUGCCGACCUGGGAGGGUGGUCGGGCACACUGGUCCUGAGACAGGGCCCAGAGUGAUACGGGGGGCAGCGGUGGGGAGUCUUGCACAGUGGGCGCACGCCGGUUGCAGCGGCGCCGCGUGAGUAAUGACGGUCUUCUGGGUAUAAACCUCUUCAGGCUCCGACGACGCGCAUGUGACGGUAGCCACAGAAGAAGCACCGGCCAACUACGUG